RNAcentral lists this ribosomal RNA (482 nucleotides) under uncultured bacterium. RNAcentral describes it as "partial 16S ribosomal RNA". It matches the Rfam family "Bacterial small subunit ribosomal RNA", at positions 30 to 507 of the family's 1533-position model. The record is from RNAcentral.
AUUGAACGCUGGCGGCAUGCUUUACACAUGCAAGUCGAACGGUAACAGCACUUCGGUGGCUGACGAGUGGCGAACGGGUGAGUAAUACAUCGGAACGUGCCUAGUAGUGGGGGAUAACUACUCGAAAGAGUAGCUAAUACCGCAUGAGAUCUAAGGAUGAAAGCAGGGGACCUUCGGGCCUUGCGCUACUAGAGCGGCUGAUGGCAGAUUAGGUAGUUGGUGGGAUAAAAGCUUACCAAGCCGACGAUCUGUAGCUGGUCUGAGAGGACGACCAGCCACACUGGGACUGAGACACGGCCCAGACUCCUACGGGAGGCAGCAGUGGGGAAUUUUGGACAAUGGGCGCAAGCCUGAUCCAGCAAUGCCGCGUGCAGGAUGAAGGACUUCGGGUUGUAAACUGCUUUUGUACGGAACGAAAAGCCCUCUUCUAAUACAGGAGGGUCAUGACGGUACCGUAAGAAUAAGCACCGGCUAACUACGUG